UUAGGAAGUAAAAGUCGUAACAAGGUUUCCGUAGGUGAACCUGCGGAAGGAUCAUUACAGAGUUAGGGUCUUUCAGGCCCGAUCUCCAACCCUAUGUGUAUUUACCUCUGUUGCUUUGGCGGGCCCGCUGGGGAACCCUCACCGGUGGCCAUAGGCUCCUGAGUGCCCGUCAGAGACCCAUCAAAAUCCUGUCAAAUGUGCAGUCUGAGUAUCAAUACAAUAAUCAAAACUUUCAACAACGGAUCUCUUGGUUCUGGCAUCGAUGAAGAACGCAGCGAAAUGCGAUAAGUAAUGUGAAUCGCAGAAUUCAGUGAACCAUCGAAUCUUUGAACGCACAUUGCGCCCCUUGGUAUUCCGAGGGGCAUGCCUGUUCGAGCGUCAUUACACCACUCAAGCUCCGCUUGGUGUUGGGUCUUCGUCCCGGUGGACGUGCCCGGAAAUCAGUGGCGGCGCGGCCCGGCUUCAAGCAGUAUCAACUAAACAUCCGCUUUGGAAGCCCCGGGUCCGGGUCUGCCAGACAACCCCCAAUUCUCAAAGGUGACCUC
Molecule: ribosomal RNA, 545 nt
Filed under: Polysporina sp. s164
Lineage: Eukaryota; Fungi; Ascomycota; Lecanoromycetes; Acarosporales; Acarosporaceae
Description: eukaryotic LSU rRNA
Rfam family: 5.8S ribosomal RNA (bases 228-381)
Source: RNAcentral